Molecule: non-coding RNA, 147 nt
Organism: Pseudonaja textilis
Lineage: Eukaryota; Metazoa; Chordata; Lepidosauria; Squamata; Elapidae
Source: RefSeq, a predicted model, not a curated record
UACCACUCCUUUGCAGCACUCUCUGAGAGGUUUAGAAGUCAUCAUAUUUCUCCCAACAUUCUGGGCCCUCAUUUUACCAACUUCAGAAGGAUGGAAGGCUGAGUCAACCUCGAGCUGGUCAGGAUUGAACUCUACACUGGGUUGUAU